CGCUUCUUUUUCCACCGGAGCUUGCUCCACCGGAAAAAGAGGAGUGGCGAACGGGUGAGUAACACGUGGGUAACCUGCCCAUCAGAAGGGGAUAACACUUGGAAACAGGUGCUAAUACCGUAUAACAAUCAAAACCGCAUGGUUUUGAUUUGAAAGGCGCUUUCGGGUGUCGCUGAUGGAUGGACCCGCGGUGCAUUAGCUAGUUGGUGAGGUAACGGCUCACCAAGGCCACGAUGCAUAGCCGACCUGAGAGGGUGAUCGGCCACAUUGGGACUGAGACACGGCCCAAACUCCUACGGGAGGCAGCAGUAGGGAAUCUUCGGCAAUGGACGAAAGUCUGACCGAGCAACGCCGCGUGAGUGAAGAAGGUUUUCGGAUCGUAAAACUCUGUUGUUAGAGAAGAACAAGGAUGAGAGUAACUGUUCAUCCCUUGACGGUAUCUAACCAGAAAGCCACGGCUAACUACGUGCCAGCAGCCGCGGUAAUACGUAGGUGGCAAGCGUUGUCCGGAUUUAUUGGGCGUAAAGCGAGCGCAGGCGGUUUCUUAAGUCUGAUGUGAAAGCCCCCGGCUCAACCGGGGAGGGUCAUUGGAAACUGGGAGACUUGAGUGCAGAAGAGGAGAGUGGAAUUCCAUGUGUAGCGGUGAAAUGCGUAGAUAUAUGGAGGAACACCAGUGGCGAAGGCGGCUCUCUGGUCUGUAACUGACGCUGAGGCUCGAAAGCGU
Molecule: ribosomal RNA, 724 nt
Filed under: Enterococcus sp. gamma1-SB-E3-2
Lineage: Bacteria; Bacillati; Bacillota; Bacilli; Lactobacillales; Enterococcaceae
Description: bacterial SSU rRNA
Rfam family: Bacterial small subunit ribosomal RNA
Source: RNAcentral